GUUUAGCCUUUGUUCCCCUUCCUACUGGAUGGCUAAUUAUUGUCCCUGGCUAAACCAUUGAGUCAGAUGGCUAAAGUAAUACAGCCUGGAGAAGAUUAAAGAGCUAUCAAAUUUUUAUCUCGCGGAGGGAAAAGUCCUUUUAGACUAUGCGUGGCAAGGAGCUCUCUCUGCCUGACCGCUGUGCCUUUGCUCUGCACCUGAGACGCAGCUCCAGUUGAUGUUACCUCCCGCACAGAAAGAAAAGAGGAAAGCAUUGCUCUGAGAACUCACCAAAAGGCCUAUGUUUCUUCUUCAUGCACCAGGUGCAGCCUCUGCUCUGAGACCAUGCAAGGAGUGCAGAAYAAAAGACCAUAAGGAUAAUGGUACUGGGCUGGAUGCAAGGGUGUCUAGCUCCUUGUCCUGCUCCAGCAGCGAGCCACAGUUGAUCCUCAUGGAAAUGCACAUGGAAAGGCCUUUUUUGGGUCAGUUUAA
RNAcentral lists this long non-coding RNA (471 nucleotides) under Dromaius novaehollandiae (emu). RNAcentral describes it as "lncRNA (ENSDNVG00000007720.1)". The record is from RNAcentral. Lineage: Eukaryota; Metazoa; Chordata; Aves; Casuariiformes; Dromaiidae.